GCAUCUUCUUGUUAUUAAAGAAUUUCGAUAACCGAUGGGGAUGCGUUCCAUUAGUUUGUUGGCGGGGUAACGGCCCACCAAGACAUCGAUGGAUAGGGGUUCUGAGAGGAAGGUCCCCCACAUUGGAACUGAGACACGGUCCAAACUCCUACGGGAGGCAGCAGUGAGGAAUAUUGGUCAAUGGACGAGAGUCUGAACCAGCCAAGUAGCGUGAAGGAUGACUGCCCUAUGGGUUGUAAACUUCUUUUAUAUGGGAAUAAAGUGAGCCACGUGUGGCUUUUUGUAUGUACCAUACGAAUAAGGAUCGGCUAACUCCGUGCCAGCAGCCGCGGUAAUACGGAGGAUCCGAGCGUUAUCCGGAUUUAUUGGGUUUAAAGGGAGCGUAGGCGGACUAUUAAGUCAGCUGUGAAAGUUUGCGGCUCAACCGUAAAAUUGCAGUUGAUACUGGUCGUCUUGAGUGCAGUAGAGGUAGGCGGAAUUCGCGGUGUAGCGGUGAAAUGCUUAGAUAUCACGAAGAACUCCGAUUGCGAAGGCAGCUUACUGGACUGUAACUGACGCUGAUGCUCGAAAGUGUGGGUAUCAAACAGGAUUAGAUACCCUGGUAGUCCACACAGUAAACGAUGAAUACUCGCUGUUUGCGAUAUACAGCAAGCGGCC
RNAcentral lists this ribosomal RNA (657 nucleotides) under uncultured bacterium. RNAcentral's name for it is "bacterial SSU rRNA". It matches the Rfam family "Bacterial small subunit ribosomal RNA", at positions 187 to 848 of the family's 1533-position model. The record is from RNAcentral.